RNAcentral lists this non-coding RNA (30 nucleotides) under Homo sapiens (human). Lineage: Eukaryota; Metazoa; Chordata; Mammalia; Primates; Hominidae. The record is from RNAcentral.
UGAGGAAUAUCGCAGGGUUCUUCUGAAGAC